Molecule: ribosomal RNA, 429 nt
Filed under: Verrucomicrobiota bacterium
Lineage: Bacteria; Pseudomonadati; Verrucomicrobiota
Description: Verrucomicrobia bacterium partial 16S ribosomal RNA
Rfam family: Bacterial small subunit ribosomal RNA
Source: RNAcentral
UAGGGAAUCUUCCGCAAUGGACGAAAGUCUGACGGAGCAACGCCGCGUGAGUGAAGAAGGAUUUCGGUUCGUAAAACUCUGUUGUUAGGGAAGAAAAAAUGUAUAGUAACUAUAUACAAAAGAGACGGUACCUAACCAGAAAGCCACGGCUAACUACGUGCCAGCAGCCGCGGUAAUACGUAGGUGGCAAGCGUUGUCCGGAAUUAUUGGGCGUAAAGCGCGCGCAGGUGGUUUAGAAAGUCUGAUGUGAAAGCCCACGGCUCAACCGUGGAGGGUCUUUGGAAACUAAUAAACUUGAGUGCAGGAGAGAAAAGUGGAAUUCCUAGUGUAGCGGUGAAAUGCGUAGAGAUUAGGAGGAACACCGGUGGCGAAAGCGGCUUUUUGGCCUGCAACUGACACUGAGGCGCGAAAGCGUGGGGAGCAAACAGG